GGCGAACGGGUGAGUAACACGUGGGUGAUCUGCCCUGCACUCUGGGAUAAGCCUGGGAAACUGGGUCUAAUACCGGAUAGGACCAUGCUUUAGUGUGUGUGGUGGAAAGUUUUUCGGUGUAGGAUGAGCCCGCGGCCUAUCAGCUUGUUGGUGGGGUAAUGGCCUACCAAGGCGGCGACGGGUAGCCGGACUGAGAGGUUGGUCGGCCACAUUGGGACUGAGAUACGGCCCAG
RNAcentral lists this ribosomal RNA (233 nucleotides) under uncultured Actinomycetales bacterium. Its description in RNAcentral is "partial 16S ribosomal RNA". It matches the Rfam family "Bacterial small subunit ribosomal RNA", at positions 97 to 334 of the family's 1533-position model. The record is from RNAcentral. Lineage: Bacteria; Bacillati; Actinomycetota; Actinomycetes; Actinomycetales.